This is a non-coding RNA of Arachis ipaensis, 441 nucleotides long. Lineage: Eukaryota; Viridiplantae; Streptophyta; Magnoliopsida; Fabales; Fabaceae. The record is from RefSeq and is a predicted model, not a curated record.
AGGCAGGAAAAAGAACACGAGGGGUCUUUAUUUUGUCCUUUUGUGGUCCUAAUGUAGUGCCAAAUUAGUCAUAGCAAGUUAGCCAAUCUCUUGUCUACCCUACCUCACUCUUUUGGCCAAAUGGUACAUGAAAAACAACCCUUGGUGGAAUUGGAAUAAUAGUUAACAAAAUAAUUUUGAAGGGUCAAGGACAUCAAAGGGGUUGAAUCCGAAUAUCAAUGGAAGGGUUUGAGGAAAGAGAGUACGAGAAUUGGACUGUCAUUGUUGUGGCUUGGCGGCUGAGUUUUUCGAGUUUGAAGCAAGCAUGUCUUUCUUCAUUUCUUUCCUUAUUGUAUUAUGUAAUCAAUCUGAUUUGUAAUAACUAAACAAGUAUAGUAUAGUUAUUGGAUCAUAAUACAGGCUUUUAAGAAGAAAUAAAUUAUAAUAAUGUGUUCAUUGCAA